UGCGAGGGCAUACAGUCCUCGCUUUUNUGUACCGUAGGGUGGUACAGGAACAAGGGCUGGGCAAGACCGGUGCCAGCCGCCGCGGUAAUACCGGCAGCNCGAGUGAUGGCCGAUAUUAUUGGGCCUAAAGCGUCCGUAGCUGGCCGGACAAGUCCGUUGGGAAAUCCACCCGCUUAACGGGUGGGCGUCCAGCGGAAACUGUCCGGCUUGGAGCCGGAAGAUCCGAGGGGUACGUCCGGGGUAGGAGUGAAAUCCCGUAAUCCUGGACGGACCGCCGGUGGCGAAAGCGCCUCGGAAGAACGGNNUCGACAGUGAGGGACGAAAGCUAGGGUCUCGAACCGGAUU
RNAcentral lists this ribosomal RNA (345 nucleotides) under uncultured archaeon. RNAcentral's name for it is "bacterial SSU rRNA". It matches the Rfam family "Archaeal small subunit ribosomal RNA", at positions 385 to 730 of the family's 1478-position model. The record is from RNAcentral.